UACCGCGGUUAUACGAGAGACCCAAAUUGACAAGUUCGGCGUAAAGCGUGGUUAAGGAUAACUUAAAGUAAAGCCGAAUAUACUCAAGGCUGUUAUAAGCUCCCGAUUACAAGAAGCCCGACUACGAAAGUGACUUUACAAUACCUGAUCCCACGAAAGCUAGGGUA
This 167-nucleotide ribosomal RNA is filed under the name Halieutaea stellata (batfish). Its description in RNAcentral is "partial 12S ribosomal RNA". Lineage: Eukaryota; Metazoa; Chordata; Actinopteri; Lophiiformes; Ogcocephalidae. RNAcentral also lists the same sequence under 1 other name. The record is from RNAcentral.